Molecule: unclassified non-coding RNA, 385 nt
Filed under: Hevea brasiliensis (rubber tree)
Lineage: Eukaryota; Viridiplantae; Streptophyta; Magnoliopsida; Malpighiales; Euphorbiaceae
Source: RNAcentral
AUGGAUCAGAAUGCAACUUCUGAUUAUUAUAUUGUGGCAAGUGCUCGGUUUGUGAAUGAAUCACUUUGGCAAAGAGUCAUAGGUGUUGCAGUCUUGCAUUACUCCAAUUCUAAGGGACCAGUAUCUGGUCCUCUGCCAGAGGCACCAAGUGAUGUUUAUAACCAGUGGGCAGCAAUGACUCAGCCUAGAUCAAUCAAGCAAAAUACAACUGCAAGUGGGGCUCGCCCUAAUCCACAGGGAUCUUUUCACUACGGCCAAAUCAAUAUUACUGAAACAUAUGUGUUAAGGAGCUUGCCACCAGUUACAAUUGAUGGAAAGCAACGUGCAACAGUGAAUGACAUAUCAUUUGUCAAUCCUGAUACACCAAUAAGGCUUGCUGACCUGC